GAGUCUGUGGACAGGCAAAACUAUGGAGAAAACUGUGCACAGACAUGAAAGACAUCUUGAGGAGCAAGUAUAAAAGGACUUUCUGGAGUCACCAACCUCCUCCUUUUUGCUUGCUCUAUCAGUUUGCCGAAGCAAAAAGCAGUUAUGGCUGAAACUAGCAGAGCCUGUAAACCAGUCCUAGGGAAGAUCACAGAAGAAUUCAUCCUUGGAAGACCUACAUGCUAAUUUCAUAGUCUGUGAGGUAUCUGCGGGACUGCUCAGUGAAACUGAAUCCGAAAGACACAACCCCAGUUAGCCCCAGAUGGUCUUCAGUCUUCUCAGAGACUGGCCUCACACUCCUGUGCACCCGUCUGGAGGAGCCUGCUUUAUUUCUGAGAAAACUCCCCAUGGAGAGUCCAGCAGCCUGAAGCCAGCUUGGUAGCCAUGCUACACCAAUUUAUAGACAUACUGAAUCUGACCCUAAUCAUCUUCCGACGGGUUUUAUUUACAGGGUGGAGACACCAUUUCCUUAGUAACUUCUGUAGAGAAAAUAUAAGAAAACACUGGGCUUUAGGUAAGUCAGCAAAAUGUCCUUUCUCACAGUCCACGGCAAACUAACCACAUGACA
This is a long non-coding RNA of Harpia harpyja (harpy eagle), 607 nucleotides long. RefSeq lists it as uncharacterized. The record is from RefSeq and is a predicted model, not a curated record. NCBI's taxonomy places the organism in Eukaryota, Metazoa, Chordata, Aves, Accipitriformes, Accipitridae. The transcript is spliced from 4 exons.